This 253-nucleotide ribosomal RNA is filed under the name uncultured bacterium. RNAcentral describes it as "partial 16S ribosomal RNA". It matches the Rfam family "Bacterial small subunit ribosomal RNA", at positions 524 to 776 of the family's 1533-position model. The record is from RNAcentral.
UACGGAGGAUGCAAGCGUUAUCCGGAUUUAUUGGGUUUAAAGGGUGCGUAGGCGGAAUGGUAAGUCAGUGGUGAAAUCCUACGGCUUAACUGUAGAACUGCCAUUGAUACUGCCGAUCUUGAGUACACUUGAAGUGGGCGGAAUGUGUCAUGUAGCGGUGAAAUGCUUAGAGAUGACACAGAACACCGAUAGCGAAGGCAGCUCACUAAAUUGUAACUGACGCUGAGGCACGAAAGCGUGGGGAUCAAACAGG